GCAGUGGGAGGAAAGGCAUCUUUAGGUCACAUCUGACUGGGAUCAGGUAUGACAGGAGUGCUGCCUCACUGUGAGGUAUAGCAGUGGGAGGAAAGGCAUCUUUAGGUCACAUCUGACUGAGAUCAGGUAUGACAGGAGUGCUGCCUCACUGUGAGGUAUAGCAGUGGGAGGAAAGGCAUCUUUAGGUCACAUCUGACUGAGAUCAGGUAUGACAGGAGUGCUGCCUCACUGUGAGGUAUAGCAGUGGGAGGAAAGGCAUCUUUAGGUCACAUCUGACUGAGAUCAGGUAAGACAGGAGUGCUGCCUCACUGUGAGGUAUAGCAGUGGGAGGAAAGGCAUCUUUAGGUCACAUCUGACUGAGAUCAGGUAUGACAGGAGUGCUGCCUCACUGUGAGGUAUAGCAGUGGGAGGAAAGGCAUCUUUAGGUCACAUCUGACUGAGAUCAGGUAUGACAGGAGUGCUGCCUCACUGUGAGGUAUAGCAGUGGGAGGAAAGGCAUCUUUAGGUCACAUCUGACUGAGAUCAGGUAUGACAGGAGUGCUGCCUCACUGUGAGGUAUAGCAGUGGGAGGAAAGGCAUCUUUAGGUCACAUCUGACUGAGAUCAGGUAAGACAGGAGUGCUGCCUCACUGUGAGGUAUAGCAGUGGGAGGAAAGGCAUCUUUAGGUCACAUCUGACUGAGAUCAGGUAUGACAGGAGUGCUGCCUCACUGUGAGGUAUAGCAGUGGGAGGAAAGGCAUCUUUAGGUCACAUCUGACUGAGAUCAGGUAUGACAGGAGUGCUGCCUCACUGUGAGGUAUAGCAGUGGGAGGAAAGGCAUCUUUAGGUCACAUCUGACUGAGAUCAGGUAUGACAGGAGUGCUGCCUCACUGUGAGGUAUAGCAGUGGGAGGAAAGGCAUCUUUAGGUCACAUCUGACUGAGAUCAGGUAUGACAGGAGUGCUGCCUCACUGUGAGGUAUA
Long non-coding RNA from Oncorhynchus keta (chum salmon), 960 nucleotides. RefSeq lists it as uncharacterized. The transcript is spliced from 4 exons. Lineage: Eukaryota; Metazoa; Chordata; Actinopteri; Salmoniformes; Salmonidae. The record is from RefSeq and is a predicted model, not a curated record.